GAGGGGAUAGCUCAGAAGAAAAGCGCGUGUUUAGAAUGCAUGAUGUCCUGGGUUCAAUCCUCAGUGCUUCCA
This 72-nucleotide transfer RNA is filed under the name Camelus bactrianus (Bactrian camel). It matches the Rfam family "tRNA". From Rfam's summary of the family: Transfer RNA (tRNA) molecules are approximately 80 nucleotides in length. Lineage: Eukaryota; Metazoa; Chordata; Mammalia; Artiodactyla; Camelidae. RNAcentral also lists the same sequence under 2 other names. The record is from Rfam by way of RNAcentral.